UGUUCAGGUUCCUCACCUGGAUAUCAGACUGCUUGUGUACUUAUCUCUAAAAGGUGGGAAGUGUGCCAUGGGAAGGCGUUGAGAAAGAGACAUGACUAGUAGUUCACGCUUGCCAUCAGGAAGGUGUGAAGUCUCACAACUGUUUUAAAUGAAAUAAUUGUAAUCAGAGUUAGUAGUAAAUAACACAACUACUGUCGUAGAAAGAUGCAGUAAUUUUAGGUUUGAGAAAUUACUUAGAAUAGUUUAUUCAACUAGGGUUUAAUAAUAUUAAUAUUUGUGGACAUUAUUUCUCCUGCCUCAUAGCACUGAUGCAUUCUUCUGUCUCAGUUUGUGCCCUGUUUUAAACUAAAAGACGUGAGGUGAUUGCCACUUUGCUUCCGUAUAAGUGGAUCCCAGCUACCGUAGCGAAGUAGGUUUGUAAUUUCUGAAACCACUCAGGGGCCAGCAUUUUGAUUUUGGCUCUAUUUUCAGCAACACCAAAAUGGAAGUGGCAAGUUCAGUUGUAGAAGAUAGGUUUGGAGUUUUCCGGAGAGAGAAUUAUCUUAGCACAUGCUGUUUCUUCUGCCUCUUAGCCGACAUGAUUCAAUAAAGUGAGCUUACAUUCACCCAUAGCAAAGCCAUUAUUUAAGCAUGCUUUAAACUUGUGCUCUGUUCACCCUAGGGCAGUGCAGUUGCAGUGCUGGGGCUUUUUGGGAAGCAUGAACAACAGCACGGAAUUGCGCAGUGUUGUCUGCCACGUGCACAUGUUGGGAUUGGUAGAUCUUUUCUGCUUGUCUUCA
Molecule: long non-coding RNA, 779 nt
Organism: Oxyura jamaicensis (ruddy duck)
Lineage: Eukaryota; Metazoa; Chordata; Aves; Anseriformes; Anatidae
Exons: 2
Source: RefSeq, a predicted model, not a curated record